CUUAUUCAGAGAGGUAGUCACAUCUUGCUUCUGGUUCUAAGGGAUUUAUAAAGAACCUCUAAAUACAGUUACUGAUUCACAAUAUGCAUAAAGAGUUGUCUUUCAUAUAAAUCCCUGAAUUUAUUCCAGAUGAUACAGAAUAUUCUUUCUUAUUCUUACAGCUUCAAGAUUUAAUCAGGAAUAGGCUUUGUCCCAUAUACACAAGACACAUCCAAUUCCUUACAGGUCUGUAAAGUCUUCUAGCACAAGGUAAUGCAGAAAUUGAUUAAUUAUUGAUCAGAAGCAUGUUGCAAGCCUUGGAAUUUCAUAAAAAACAUCAUGUCAAUAGCAAAGGUUGAAAGAAAGAACUUUCCAUUACAUGAAAAUGAGCUAAGGUGAUUAUAAAUAGAUGUUCUACUUGUUUUUUCUAUAACCAAACACCUUUACCUUCUGGGAGUAACCCAAAGGGUACUCAAAGGAAUGAGAUCUAGCAGAUGCAUGUGUUCUACUUUACGGAAUUUGGUCAAUUAAAAUAUGUGCACCACACCACAGACACCUAUUCAGGAGAAGAAAAACUAAGGAUACCAUCAAAAUUAAUAAAGAUUUGCUUUGUAAAGGGAAAACCUCUUGAAAAAAAGAAAUGAAAGCUCAUCCAUACAGGUGAGAACCAUACGGGUGGUAAGGAAGUCUCAUAGGGCUGGGGAAGGGCUCUAUUCUUGUCUUUGCAGGAAAAUAUUCAUCUUCAAAAGGUCAAGAGACCCUGGACAUCUAGAUGCCUAAAGAGAAAAAGAUAAUUAUCCUGAUAGGAUCACAAAGUGAAGAGAAUUAUGACUUCUGAGGACCUGUAAUCUGAGGGAUUCUAUAAAAAGAACAUGCCCCCAUGACAACUGGAAAUAAUUAUAGAAGACAAGGUCUCUUCUCACAACAAAGUUUGUUCUUAUGAGAGAAUGUUGAGCACCAGCGACACUCCACUUG
This is a non-coding RNA of Myodes glareolus (Bank vole), 954 nucleotides long. The record is from RefSeq and is a predicted model, not a curated record. Lineage: Eukaryota; Metazoa; Chordata; Mammalia; Rodentia; Cricetidae.